CCUACGGGUGGCAGCAGUGGGGAAUCUUCCGCAAUGGGCGAAAGCCUGACGGAGCAACGCCGCGUGAUCGAAUGAAGGCCUUCGGGUUGUAAAGAUCUGUUGACAGGGACGAAUAAGCCAUGCGAAUAGUUUGGUGUAUGACGGUACCUGUUUAGAAAGCUCCGGCUAACUACGUGCCAGCAGCCGCGGUAAUACGUAGGGAGCAAGCGUUAUCCGGAAUUACUGGGUGUAAAGGGAGCGUAGACGGUUAAGUAAGUCUGGAGUGAAAGGCCGGGGCCCAACCCCGGGACUGCUCUGGAAACUAUUGAACUUGAGUGCAGGAGAGGUAAGCGGAAUUCCUAGUGUAGCGGUGAAAUGCGUAGAUAUUAGGAGGAACACCAGUGGCGAAGGCGGCUUACUGGACUGUAACUGACGUUGAGGCUCGAAAGCGUGGGGAGCAAACAGGAUUAGAUACCCGUGUAGUC
This 464-nucleotide ribosomal RNA is filed under the name uncultured bacterium. Its description in RNAcentral is "partial 16S ribosomal RNA". It matches the Rfam family "Bacterial small subunit ribosomal RNA", at positions 338 to 795 of the family's 1533-position model. The record is from RNAcentral.